GUUUUUAUAGUUUAAAAAAAACAUUGGUCUUGUAAUCCUAAAUUAAGUCUAUUACUUUAAAAACUU
RNAcentral lists this transfer RNA (66 nucleotides) under Catocala sp. XY-2014. RNAcentral's name for it is "tRNA-Thr". It matches the Rfam family "tRNA". From Rfam's summary of the family: Transfer RNA (tRNA) molecules are approximately 80 nucleotides in length. Their secondary structure includes four short double-helical elements and three loops (D, anti-codon, and T loops). Further hydrogen bonds mediate the characteristic L-shaped molecular structure. tRNAs have two regions of fundamental functional importance: the anti-codon, which is responsible for specific mRNA codon recognition, and the 3' end, to which the tRNAs corresponding amino acid is attached (by aminoacyl-tRNA synthetases). tRNAs cope with the degeneracy of the genetic code in two manners: having more than one tRNA (with a specific anti-codon) for a particular amino acid; and 'wobble' base-pairing, i.e. permitting non-standard base-pairing at the 3rd anti-codon position. Lineage: Eukaryota; Metazoa; Arthropoda; Insecta; Lepidoptera; Erebidae. The record is from RNAcentral.